This is a long non-coding RNA of Globicephala melas (long-finned pilot whale), 576 nucleotides long. RefSeq lists it as uncharacterized. The record is from RefSeq and is a predicted model, not a curated record. Lineage: Eukaryota; Metazoa; Chordata; Mammalia; Artiodactyla; Delphinidae.
CCCACCGCGCGCUCCCGCCUCCUUGCUGCCAUGGCGACCGCCCCGGGCCCCAGCAGCCGCUAAUUGGUCCUACCCGAAGAGUGGAAGGUGCCGAUUGGCAAGGGCGGAGACCAGGCCGCGCCGGAGGGCUUGGAGGCGGGCGGUGUGGAGAGCUAACGCGUAGAAGCCCCGGGGAGGGUGAGCCAGGAGGGACGUGGCGCUCUGCGGCGCGGGCUGAGAAGCCGCGCCCCUUCCUUCUCUGGCUUUCAUGGAGAGUCCUGUGGAGCAGGAUUUGGGUGGGUGAGGUGCUUACCCGGGACGCGGACAAAAACCCAGGAUCCCACAGGACAUCACUUGGCCAAGUUCUUCACUGUGUUCAGAAUGGGGGAGAGGGAGGCAGGAGUACUUACAAGAGACAUACGCGGGCCUCUCACUGUUGUGGCCUCUCCCAUUGCGGAGCACAGGCUCCGGACGCGCAGGCUCAGCAACCAUGGCUCACGGGCCCAGCCGCUCCGCGGCAUGUGGGAUCUUCCCGGACCGGGUCAUGAACCCGUGUCUCCUGCAUCGGCAGGUGGACUCUCAACCACUGCACCACCA